GGGCGUCAAUAACUUCCCGACUCUCUUGCCCAGAGGUAGAGGGAGGGACUUGGCGGGGACGUCUGGGCUGGGGCUGGACAAUACGGGGUGGACUGGCCAGUGGUAGGGGGGCCUGGGCCAGUGUGGAGUCAUCUGGGUCCUCAGGCGUUGGAGCAGGACUUGCUUGGGUUGAAAA
Bufo bufo (common toad) is the source of this 175-nucleotide long non-coding RNA. RefSeq lists it as uncharacterized. The record is from RefSeq and is a predicted model, not a curated record. NCBI's taxonomy places the organism in Eukaryota, Metazoa, Chordata, Amphibia, Anura, Bufonidae. The transcript has 3 exons.